RNAcentral lists this ribosomal RNA (367 nucleotides) under uncultured bacterium. RNAcentral's name for it is "bacterial SSU rRNA". It matches the Rfam family "Bacterial small subunit ribosomal RNA", at positions 527 to 896 of the family's 1533-position model. The record is from RNAcentral.
GGAGGAUGCGAGCGUUAUCCGGAUUCAUUGGGUUUAAAGGGUGCGUAGGCGGACUGAUAAGUCAGUGGUGAAAACCUGCAGCUUAACUGUAGAACUGCCAUUGAUACUGUCGGACUUGAGUAUGGUCAAGGUAGGCGGAAUGUGUAAUGUAGCGGUGAAAUGCUUAGAUAUUACACAGAACACCGAUUGCGAAGGCAGCUUGCUGGGCCAUUACUGACGCUGAUGCACGAAAGCGUGGGGAGCAAACAGGAUUAGAUACCCUGGUAGUCCACGCCGUAAACGAUGAUCACUCGCUGUUGGCGAUAUACAGUCAGCGGCUAAGCAAAAGCAUUAAGUGAUCCACCUGGGGAGUACGGCCGCAAGGCUG